Molecule: ribosomal RNA, 392 nt
Filed under: uncultured bacterium
Lineage: Bacteria
Description: bacterial SSU rRNA
Rfam family: Bacterial small subunit ribosomal RNA
Source: RNAcentral
AUUGAACGCUGGCGGCAUGCCUUACACAUGCAAGUCGAACGGCAGCACGGGAGCAAUCCUGGUGGCGAGUGGCGAACGGGUGAGUAAUAUAUCGGAACGUGCCCAGUCGUGGGGGAUAACGUAGCGAAAGCUACGCUAAUACCGCAUACGAUCUAUGGAUGAAAGCGGGGGAUCGCAAGACCUCGCGCGAUUGGAGCGGCCGAUAUCAGAUUAGGUAGUUGGUGAGGUAAAGGCUCACCCAAGCCGACGAUCUGUAGCUGGUCUGAGAGGACGACCAGCCACACUGGGACUGAGACACGGCCCAGACUCCUACGGGAGGCAGCAGUGGGGGAAUUUUUGGACAAUGGGCGCAAGCCUGAUCCAGCAAUGCCGCGUGCAGGAUGAAGGCCUUC